This is a non-coding RNA of Perognathus longimembris pacificus (Pacific pocket mouse), 80 nucleotides long. The record is from the annotation of a RefSeq genome assembly. Lineage: Eukaryota; Metazoa; Chordata; Mammalia; Rodentia; Heteromyidae.
GGCCGGUUAGCUCAGUUGGUUAGAGCGUGGUGCUAAUAACGCCAAGGUCGCGGGUUCGAUCCCCGUACCCGUACGGGCCA